Mercenaria mercenaria is the source of this 3715-nucleotide RNA transcript. It is a transcript of the gene named apical endosomal glycoprotein-like, with no coding region annotated. The record is from RefSeq and is a predicted model, not a curated record. Lineage: Eukaryota; Metazoa; Mollusca; Bivalvia; Venerida; Veneridae. The transcript has 7 exons.
AAGCUAACUGAUUUAAAACAACUUUUUUGAUGACAAAUCAAAUUGAAUUCAUUACUCCAGAUAUAGCAUCUCCGUAUACUCUUUUGUAUCUCUGUAUAAGGCUAUAUCUCACUUAACGCCAUAAAUGAAAUCGGUUGAUGAUUAGUACAAAGUAAUAUGUACAUUAAAAGUAGAAAGCUUUCGUUUCAUAUUUACAGAUGGCUUUUUCAUUGCAUUCACUAAUAAUCGAACAGACAAUGUAACAAAUAGAGUAACUGCUAAAGUCAACAAUAAACAGUAUUCACAAGGACUAGCUUGCUUUCGAUUAUGGUACUCACGUACUAGUGGAAACAGAAUUACAAUUAACGUUUACGUUUUGAAGACAAAAUGGCAAAAGGAAACAUCAAUUGUCUUGAGAAACGCCGAUGAAGGAAAGUGGAUGCAUGUAUACAUGAACUUUAACGCUUCGAAAGAUUUCAAAAUUGAGUUUGUCGGUAAUCUUGGCACAAACAGAGUGGGAUAUGUAGCUGUUGAUGAUACUGUUAUAACAACUGGCAUGCUAUGCUCAGCAGGAUCGAAUAUAUAACAUUGUUCUAACAAACAUUGUGACUUUGAAAAUGGAUUCUGCGCUUGGAAGCAACUGUUACAAAACUCUGAAGAUGACUUUAACUGGAAAAGAAGUGGCAGCACUCCUAGUGCCAAUACUGGACCAGAGAAAGAUCAUACUUUUGGAAAUGGAUAUUACAUAUACAUUGAAUCAAAUAAAAAAGAUGAAAAUAAUACUGCUUGACUGUCAGUUUUACUUGACGGCAAUGGACAAAAAUGUUUCUUAUUUUGUUUCUACAUGUAUGGGGAAGAUGUCAACUAUCUUCAUAUAUAUGUUACAACGCACGCCGAUGGUGAACAACAUGUAUAUUCUGCACACAAAAGCAAGAGAAAGCAAUGGGUAGAAGCGCAAAUCGAGGUUAUUGAUAAGGCUUAUCAGAUCAUACUUGAAGGUGUAAUAGGUAUUGGUGAUUUAGGAGACAUAGCCGUUGAUGAUAUAAUGAUAAGAUCUGGUGUUUGUAAACCAAGUAAGAUCAAUGAGUCAGGAGAUCACAUCAGUUAUACAUGUCUUGUAUAGAAUGUAUCAUCUUAUCAUGUACUUAAUGAUAUAUUAAUAGCGAUAAGGUUUGUAGUAUCCUCCAUGUGAAGAAGACAUCAAGCAUGCUCACGGAAAGUCGACGGUUUUACUCAGAUGCCCGUGCAUGUCUUAACACGGAGCAUCAUCUUGGUCUUCCUACACCAUCAAAUACCAGAAGAGUCGCCAUAUAACCUGAACUGUGUGAAAAAGGAGGAGCUCUUACUGCAGUUUAUAUUUUGGUUCCAACAAUCAUUACCGUUGUAGUGGUCAGUAGUGUUGCAAUAUUUAUAUGGAGGAAAAGAUAUUCGAGCAAAAAAACAUCCUCUGAUGCUCCACGUGAAUCACCGUCAGAAACUACAGGUUCUGUCAAUUCUUCAAGAACCAAUGAAACGUACACAGGUCAUAUCGUUGAAACUCAAAACAAUAAUAUGCACUCUAAGGCAAGUAAAGUAGCUUCUGAUGAAAGUGAAUAUACGGUAAUUACUGACGACAAUAUUCAGCCACAUGACUUUAACAAAACGGAAUACAGCAUUAUUAAUAUGAACCAGAAAAUUAAGCAAGACAAUGAUCACGUUUAUGAUCAUCUGAAACAUGCAUUAUAACAUACUCGUUUCUAUUCCCGUUAAGAUACAAUGGAACCGGAAAGUCAAUAUUUUACCAUACACUGACGCCUGAAUUUCAUAUCGGGUGCGUUAUGUAAUUUAAUGUAUGUCGUUGCAUUAAUUCCUUUAUGAAGUUCUUUAUUGUCAAUGCUUUUUAACAGAGCCAUAUUAUUGACAUUACAUUUAUACGUGUAGAAACGUAUGUGAUAAACAGCUUACUAUUUUGUCAUCGGGAAGUAUGUACUCGAUCUUUAGCUCCUCAUGUCGCUCAAUAUUUUCGCUGCAGAACUCGUGCAUAUUUCCGAAUACAAAGUUAUCGCCUCAUAUUGAUAAAUCAUACUCUCAUGUGUUGCCAAAGAACAAUGACAAUUUUGAUAGAGUCGAUGGGUCCGGGAAGUUUGCUGCAUCUGCAAAUCAAGCUCAGAGAGGAGACUUCAACCCUGCUGUUUAGAGUUGGACGGAAAGACUUACAAACAUAACGACGGGACAAUUCAUUGUAGUUUAAAACAAAUCACACCAAGUUUCCCGUUUAAAAUUGAAGAUAACCUUGAUGUAAAAUACGACCGGGCAAAAUCCCGGGACCUCGAUCCGUCAGUUGCAAAACGUGAUGACUAUUCGCAUUUGCUUACUGCGGAUUCAAAUACAGAUCCUGUGAUAGAAAAGCGAGCUAAUUGUCUUAAAAAGAGUACAGGUAAUACUAAAGAGAAUGCUGAAGAAGACAAGUGUUUUACUGUAUUGGCAAAAGAUGGGAACUUUGAUGAUCUCCCUGGAACACAGGAUUCGUGUAUUCAUUUAUAACUUAGUUUUAGGAAAAGAGCAAUGAAUGUGGAAAAGAGCUUAUAUUUGCUAUCUCUGAUUAUUAUCGUAUUAAUAUUUUUAUUUAUUUCUGAGACAAGCUGAUCUAACAGUUACUUUUAUCAAAAAUAAGAAGUACAGAAUACAAACAUUGUGUCUAGAAUAUAUUGGAGAAUGAAAUCAGAAGAAACAUAAAAUCUGUAUACGCCAUUGUAUUAUCACUCUGUUGGUUAGUUUAUUAACAGACAAGUAGGUAUAACAGAGUGAUAUGUCUGAACCUACGGGCCCAGUUUAUAUGUUUGACAAAAGUACCAUCGGUUCUUUAAGGAGUAUUCAUGGCAGUCGCCUUAUCUAAAUCUAUAUCAUAAGUAAAACAAUUUUAGUGUAUGUCAAUUUAUUGAAUUCCUAUUGAUUACGUUUAAAACUGUGUUGCUCUAGUGUUAUUGCAUUCAAAUCAAAAUCAGGAAAAAACGCCAGCAGUACGCUUUAUGAAAAUAAAGUAUCUCACAAAGUUACUUUAGAUUAUAUAAGGUCUCAAGAACGUGUAAUACUGGGAUAUACAGAUAUUUUAAAAGAUAAAUAGUGCCUCUUUAAAGAAUAUAGAGAAAAUUGGCAUGUACGUGAAACACAAAUAUGCAGUUUACAAGCACAAAUGCGACGUAGAGUAAUACAUCAACCUCAAUAUGUCUUAAAACAUAUGAACUUGGUGAAAUGGAUUUUUGUAUUGUUGACUUCCGAAUAGAAGACGAGAAUGGUCUGACUUAUAACGACACGUGGAGAAAUGAAAAUCAUAUGAACCUAAAGAAGUGUAUAUUUAAAUGUAUCUACCAUUUUAUUGUUAUCCCUCCUUUUACUUGUGAGAAGGUUGCUUAGAAAAAUGAGAUUGUUUUCAAUUCCGAAAAUAAGAACAAGCAAGAAGAUUGAUCCGGAGGCAUAUGUUGAGGUUAUUUCAAGAAUUUUGUUUAUUCGGUUGCUUGCAUUUUCUGUUAAAAAUAUCACAUCAAUAAAGAUACCAUUUACAUUUACUUGUUCGCAUUAGGCCCCAGGUCAAGUGCCUUCAGUAAAUUGUAUAAGUAUGUUUUCAAAUUCAAACAAUCACUUGUUUCAAACUGUUAGGUUUAAAACAAUUUAUUAUUUUAUUUUAAACAUAUUCUGUUCUUUCCAUUGUUAUGAGUGUUCAACUGCUUUGUGAAUAAAGUGCCCUGCAUGAACGCUA